AUAUUUCCCUGGCAGGGGAGAUACCAUGAAGGUGGUUUUCCCAGGGUGAGGCUGACCCGUUGCUCUCCGGAUGUGCGGACCCCUGCCAUUUCCCCAAGUGUGGGAAGCCCGACUGCAUCAUUUGUGGUAGUGGGGGCUGCGUCUGCACUGUCCUCUA
Erinaceus europaeus (western European hedgehog) is the source of this 157-nucleotide small nuclear RNA. Its record names the gene U1. It matches the Rfam family "U1 spliceosomal RNA". Rfam says of the family: U1 is a small nuclear RNA (snRNA) component of the spliceosome (involved in pre-mRNA splicing). Its 5' end forms complementary base pairs with the 5' splice junction, thus defining the 5' donor site of an intron. The record is from Ensembl. Lineage: Eukaryota; Metazoa; Chordata; Mammalia; Eulipotyphla; Erinaceidae.